This 484-nucleotide long non-coding RNA is filed under the name Physcomitrium patens. RNAcentral's name for it is "long non-coding RNA (PPAT_LNC004675)". Lineage: Eukaryota; Viridiplantae; Streptophyta; Bryopsida; Funariales; Funariaceae. The record is from RNAcentral.
CACAAGGAAACUAUAAUCUCCUCCUUCACCUUAUCGAUCUCUUCCUCACAAUAAUUCAGUCAUACCAAUAACUGCUAUUUCCACCAAUAUAUUCACCCUCAUAAACUCCAACUAUAAUAUUGUGCCCUCACAGCUUUCAGCACAUAAUUACCCUCAUUCCAAUCACUGGAAUUCUUCACACAGAACUGCCAUUCACAUUAUGGUGUUUUACACAAACAGAGAUUCAUUCUCUCUGCUGAACUACAAUCAGAUUUCAGCAUUCAAUCUUUCUUCUUCUCGAAUAAUAUCAAUCACAUUUCCAUUCCAUAAUUCACUUCACAAUAUUCAGAAACUCUCAAUCUUCUUAUUCAAAGAAAAUAACAAACAAAAGAAAAGAGGUAGCACCAAGCUUACUCCGGCUAACAACUAUUACAGUGAUGGCACCUUAAUUAACUUCUAUAACUCCUAUAUACUUUCCCCUGAUUUUCUAGAUUCUAACUGUAAU